Molecule: long non-coding RNA, 1687 nt
Organism: Papaver somniferum (opium poppy)
Lineage: Eukaryota; Viridiplantae; Streptophyta; Magnoliopsida; Ranunculales; Papaveraceae
Exons: 7
Source: RefSeq, a predicted model, not a curated record
UUCUCCGCCUCUCCCUCUCCCCCACCCUAUCUUCUUCUCCUGCGAAUGAAACCCUAACUAAACAGACUCACCCUUCUUCUCUAGACUGAAACACUAACACACUAAAUCGAAGUGGAGUUAUUACUCUCGAUCUGCUUCUCUUCAAAUCUCUUUAUAAUUUCAUGAAAUUAUUAUUGUUUUAUAAUUUCUUGAAAUUGUUUGAAGAUGAAAACCCAUCAAAAUCUCUUUAGAAAAUUGGAAUCCAUAACUUCAUAAUCAAAUAUUGAGUUUUCAGAAUCAACAGCAAAUCAACAAAACCCAUUAAUACCUAGGAGUUAUGUUUUCCAUCUCCUACAUAUUCAGACAAGUGAAUGGAUCUAAUAACUUAGAUUUAUGUUUCAGUUGUUUUUUUAAAUCGAUUAUGAGUUGUUUUUUGAGAUAUUAAUUAUAAUUUUCUUUUUUGUUUGAUUUCAUCAGGUCUUUUGAGAAGAACGGGAAGAGGAGAAACCCUAAAUUCAUCAGCAGCAAGAACUGAUGAAUUCCUUGCUUCUAGUUUCAAAUAAGAAAUGGGUUAAAUCGGUUUUACUUAGUGAAGCUACUCGUUAUCUCAUUGUAUGGCACCCUUAUCUUUCCUCUGAAACCCUAGCCUUGUACGAAAAACCUUGAUAUUUGUAAAUCCUUUGUUUCUCAAUAACUCUGUGGUUUAUUACUCGUCUUCAAACCCUAAUUUCUUAUUACACAUGGAAGACGUAAGAAUUCAAUUACUCAUUCAGAUUUUUCUGGCUGUUUUGUGUGGUUUUGAGGCUCGACCCGUGUGUUUUAGGGUUUGAUUUUGGUCCUUUUGCCGAAGACAUGUUUCUCCGGCAAGCAACAAUAAUGGGUCCCCCAGACAGUCCAUACGCAGGAGGAAUCCAGAUUAUCCAUUUAAGCCACCAAAGGGGAGCCAUCUAAAUGACGUUGAUUAGACUGUGAAGUGCUGAGAACUUGGGGUUGCAAAACAUCCAAGCUUGUAUUAAAAUAGUGCAGUCAUUUAUGUUAGUAUCUCUCCUUCAGCUCACAUCAAGAUUGGAUAUGAUCAUGUUCCGGUACCUCCAAUGUAAACGAAGUUAACUCACUUGUCCAACUAUUUCGAAUAUGAGAUACUAAGAAGUUAUUUAUUUCCCACUUUUGAAUGUAAAGCCAACCUUUUCUUGAGAAUUUUCAGUUGUAUUGAUCAAAUAGGGCACUCUUGCAAUGGCAGUGAUGUUCUUAGUGUUUUGAAUAGGUUAUAGGAGAACUUAUUGGGGCCGUUAAGAUAAUGCAUCAACAGAUCUCAGACGCCUUCGGCAAUGACUGUACGGCAUCAACAGUAGACUAAAACAAAAUUCUCAAAGGUUGGGUCCAUCUGGAGUUGAAUGCAACUCCCCACUUGCACUCUGGAUUUAUUGAGAAUUUGAGCUUUUUUAUUAUUUGGUUACAGCUCACAAGUGUUAGCUUUCAGUUAUUUCUGGUUAAAUUCAUAAUGAGCAGAACAAUGAUAAUUUAUGGAGAGUUUGUAGAUCCUGAAAUUGUAAGAAUUGCAUGUUUUGGAUAGAUUAAAAAAGAAGAAUGGCCAUGUGUGUUUCAGUUUUAAUUGUAUUGCAGGCCUGUGUUUCAGUUUUAAUUGUAUUGCAGGCCUGUAAAUUGGAAUCCCAAGUCCAUAAAAUGACCUGGGCUAUCCAUAUUUUUU